This is a long non-coding RNA of Coffea eugenioides, 527 nucleotides long. RefSeq lists it as uncharacterized. Lineage: Eukaryota; Viridiplantae; Streptophyta; Magnoliopsida; Gentianales; Rubiaceae. The record is from RefSeq and is a predicted model, not a curated record. The transcript has 2 exons.
AAAUAAGUGAUUUUACUUCAUUGGGGCCCAAUUUCAAGGGAGGAGUUUCGGAGUAGGAGUGAGAUUUACUGUGUUGCUGAAUACAAGCAUCAGCGCUGGAGGUAAAGGAAGAGAGAGUGCAAGAUGGGAGAAUGCACAGUGCAAUCCGGAUAUAAAACAGUAAUGGGCAGAAGAGGCAGAGGCAAGGAAGAGAUCAAUAAACCAACAAGCUUGGAAGGUACUUUGGAGCUUAGACAUUAGUCACAAAAUUAAACUGUUCAUUUGGAAAGGACCGAAGGAAGGGUGAAGAUUCGAGAUCUAAUAUGUUCAAGUUCUGGAGAGGAAAUGGAAACACUGGAACAUAUGUUGCUAGAUUGCAGCAGAGCUAAAGAGAUAUGGAAGUUGGCUCCAGUGCAAUGGAAUGGAAUUAAAAACUUGACAGGAAACUUCAAAAACUGGUGGCCAUCAGUAACCGAAGCAAGACACAGGGUUCAAGGGAAAGAUCAUAUAGGUCUCACGGCCUACACCUUGUGGCAAAUAUGGAGAAG